Oncorhynchus tshawytscha (Chinook salmon) is the source of this 474-nucleotide long non-coding RNA. RefSeq lists it as uncharacterized. Lineage: Eukaryota; Metazoa; Chordata; Actinopteri; Salmoniformes; Salmonidae. The record is from RefSeq and is a predicted model, not a curated record. The transcript is spliced from 2 exons.
ACGUAGGCUAGGUAAUUUGCUUUGUGGGUUGGUUAGCUUUGUUUGGCAAACACUGAAUUAGACGACAUCAUCAACCUACUCUUUACAAUACUGACUGAUCAAAUAAGGAUGAUGAAUGCUCAGAGACAUUUCUUAGAAGACAUCUUACAACGCAGGAGGGAUGCCGCUUACUUCUAUCCACCCCAGUCUGACCAACGCUCUACAACCUGCGCCUCACCUGUUUCCAGUGGCAGUUUUUCAUCCAACGAGAGACUGGGCCGACGGAAGGGCAGAGGUGGUCGCGGACACGCGCACCGACGAGAUGCCGCACCCGACCGGGUAAGAAGAAACUACUACCAGAGGUAGAGGGGCCCGUUCACAAGGUCCCAGAACCUAUGGGACUGGGUGUCUUUAAUUUAUCAAGCAAGAUCUUGAGCCCUGCCCAUAUCUCCUUGCUUAAUAAAGGGUUAUAUUUUGUGCCUACUGACACCAGCA